AUUGAACGCUGGCGGCAUGCCCUACACAUGCAAGUCGAACGGUAACAGGUCUUCGGAUGCUGACGAGUGGCGAACGGGUGAGUAAUACAUCGGAACGUGCCUAGUAGUGGGGGAUAACUACUCGAAAGAGUGGCUAAUACCGCAUGAGAUCUACGGAUGAAAGCAGGGGAUCGCAAGACCUUGUGCUACUAGAGCGGCCGAUGGCAGAUUAGGUAGUUGGUGGGAUAAAAGCUUACCAAGCCGACGAUCUGUAGCUGGUCUGAGAGGACGAUCAGCAACACUGGGACUGAGACACGGCCCAGACUCCUCCGGGAGGCAGCAGUGGGGAAUUUUGGACAAUGGGCGAAAGCCUGAUCCAGCAAUGCCGCGUGCAGGAUGAAGGCCUUCGGGUUGUAAACUGCUUUUGUACGGAACGAAAAGCCCCGGGCUAAUACCCUGGGGUCAUGACGGUACCGUAAGAAUAAGCACCGGCUAACUACGUGCCAGCAGCCGCCGUAA
This 498-nucleotide ribosomal RNA is filed under the name uncultured bacterium. RNAcentral's name for it is "partial 16S ribosomal RNA". It matches the Rfam family "Bacterial small subunit ribosomal RNA", at positions 30 to 523 of the family's 1533-position model. The record is from RNAcentral.